GGAUUCCCCUAGUAGCGGCGAGCGAACAGGGAUGAGCCCAGCACCGAACCUCGCGCCCGGUCGAGCGGGUGCCGAGGAAUGUGGUGUUCGGGAAGAUCGUGCGCGCCUGUCCGGUAUCUAUCGUCCAAGUCUCCAUGAACGGGGCGAGCAACCCACAGAGGGUGUCAGGCCCGUAGAUUCAGACGAGCCGAGACCGUGCAUUGGAUCUUUCCCAAGAGUCGGGUUGCUUGAGCGUGCAGCCCUAAGCGGGAGGUAAACUCCUUCUAAGGCUAAAUAUCGCCACGAGACCGAUAGCGAACAAGUACCGCGAGGGAAAGUUGAAAAGAACUUUGAAGAGAGAGUUCAAGAGUGCGUGAAACCGUUCAGGGGGUUAAACGGGUGGGCCCUCGAAGGUCGAACGAGCCCCCGCUCCCGGCACUUGGUUGCAUGCCCCYCUUAGYCGCGAGAGACGGCCCGUAAUCGGUCGCUCGAUCGUAGGCAUGGGGGACCGCAUUAGCCGCGCCAAGGUCCGCUAGUGGGGGGCCAAGUAGGACUCCGCGACCGACUGGAUGCCUGUCACACGGGGCGAAUCGUUAGCACUUUGAUUCGGGCGGUUUCGGCCGUCUGGUUUUUGUGCGCGACCGUCUCCCGACAGUGCUGUCCGGUCGUGACCUGUGUACCUUCUGGUGCUCGGUUUACCGAGCAGCUGGAGGCCCAGAGCGGAGAGUAGUAGUCGGGUCCCACCCGACCCGUCUUGAAACACGGACCAAGGAGUCUAACAUGUGCGCGAGUCGUCGAGUCUGUCACGAAACUCGCGAGGCGUAAUGAAAGUGAAACGGCCCCGAUGAGGGUGUUCCGUGAGGGGUGAUCUCGUCUCGAAUAGAGCGAGCGCAACCCCUGGGCGUUCGGAGUCGCGAGGCGGCGGGGAUUCGUUYCCGUCCGUCGAGUCGACCGAACGAACCGAGAGCGUACACGUUGGGACCCGAAAGAUGGUGACCUAUGCCUGGCCAGGACGAAGCCAGGGGAAACCCUGGUGGAGGUCCGCAGCGAUUCUGACGUGCAAAUCGAUCGUCGGAGUUGGGUAUAGGGGCGAAAGACUAAUCGAACCAUCUAGUAGCUGGUUCCCCCCGAAGUUUCCCUCAGGAUAGCUGGUGCUCGCAAAGAGAACAAACGGAGUUUCAUCCGGUAAAGCGAAUGAUUAGAGGCCUUGGGGUCGAAACGACCUCAACCUAUUCUCAAACUUUCAAUGGGUGAGAAGCCCGGCCUAGAUACCUUGAGUUGAGGCCGCGGCAAUCUGAAUUAAGAAUCUGAGCGCCCAGUGGGCCAUUUUUGGUAAGCAGAACUGGCGCUGUGGGAUGAACCAAACGCUCGGUUAAGGCGCCUAAACGACGCACAUUUCGGAUCCCACGAAAAGGAGUUGGUUGCUAAAGACAGCAGGACGGUGGCCAUGGAGGUCGGAAUCCGCUCAGGAGUGUGUAACAACUCACCUGCCGAAGCAACUAGCCCUUAAAAUGGGAGGCGCUAUAGCGUCGUGCCUAUACCGAGCCGUCGGUCGGCAGCGAGAAUAACGCCGUGUAACGCUCGUAGAGAGCGACGGCGCGGAGGCCCCGACGAGUAGGGGGGUCGCGACGGUGAGCGUUGAAGGGUUGUGGGCGCGAGCCUGCCUGGAGCCGCCGUCGGUGCAGAUCUUGGUGGUAGUAGCAAAUACUCCAGAGGGAUCCUGGAGGACUGACGCGGAGAAGGGUUUCAUGUGAACAGUGGUUGGACAUGAGUCAGUCGAUCCUAAGCCGCAGGCGAAAGCCGACCUAGUGACGGGCGUGAUUAAUGGAGAAGUUUUUGGNNNNNNNNNNNNNAAACUGNNNNNUUGNUGUUGUUGUUGUUGUCNNCUUNNNNNNNNNNNNNNNNNNNNNNNNNNNNNNNNNUUUUUGCGCGCACGCGGGAACAAAAAACCAACCUUAAACACCGAUACGCCAACCUGGUUCAAGGCGAAAGGGAAUCCGGUCCUGAUUCCGGAACCGAGCUGCGGCUACGUCCGCGAUGACACGACUUCAACCCUCGUAAAUUCACGGUCGCGGUAACGCGAUACAAACCGGAGAAGCUGCUGAGAACCCCGGGAAGAGUUUUCUUUUCUGCUUGAGGGACCGAGACCCUGGAAUCCCGUCGUGGGGCGAGAGGGUUACGGAUUUAGCUGUCAAAGGCUAUCCCGAAGAGCGCCGCGUUUCUGCGGCGUCCGUGGUCGUUCUCAGCUGGCCCUUGAAAAUCCGGUGGGAGGGUUACGUUGUUGGACGUUCGCGCUCGCUCGUACCGAUUCCGCAUCA
This 2297-nucleotide ribosomal RNA is filed under the name Scapholeberis mucronata. RNAcentral describes it as "partial 28S ribosomal RNA". It matches the Rfam family "Eukaryotic large subunit ribosomal RNA", at positions 72 to 1862 of the family's 3401-position model. The record is from RNAcentral. Lineage: Eukaryota; Metazoa; Arthropoda; Branchiopoda; Diplostraca; Daphniidae.